This 116-nucleotide transfer RNA is filed under the name Tribolium castaneum (red flour beetle). It matches the Rfam family "tRNA". From Rfam's summary of the family: Transfer RNA (tRNA) molecules are approximately 80 nucleotides in length. Their secondary structure includes four short double-helical elements and three loops (D, anti-codon, and T loops). Lineage: Eukaryota; Metazoa; Arthropoda; Insecta; Coleoptera; Tenebrionidae. The record is from Rfam by way of RNAcentral.
GUCAGGAUGGCCGAGCGGUCUAAGGCGCCAGACUCAAGGUUUCCUUGCCUGCACAGCAGGAUUGAUGAGCGUUCUGGUCCUCUCUGAGGGCGUGGGUUCGAAUCCCACUCCUGACA